UGAGGAAUAUUGCGCAAUGGAGGCAACUCUGACGCAGCCAUGCCGCGUGCAGGAAGACGGCCCUACGGGUUGUAAACUGCUUUUAUCCGGGAAGAAACCCCUCCACGUGUGGAGGGUUGACGGUACCGGAGGAAUAAGCACCGGCUAACUUCGUGCCAGCAGCCGCGGUAAUACGAAGGGUGCAAGCGUUAUCCGGAUUCAUUGGGUUUAAAGGGUGCGUCGGCGGGGCAUUAAGUCAGUGGUGAAAGCCCGCAGCUCAACUGCGGAAUUGCCAUUGAUACU
This 282-nucleotide ribosomal RNA is filed under the name uncultured organism. Its description in RNAcentral is "partial 16S ribosomal RNA". It matches the Rfam family "Bacterial small subunit ribosomal RNA", at positions 355 to 634 of the family's 1533-position model. The record is from RNAcentral.